RNAcentral lists this transfer RNA (90 nucleotides) under Tsukamurella tyrosinosolvens. RNAcentral describes it as "tRNA-Ala(tgc)". The record is from RNAcentral. Lineage: Bacteria; Bacillati; Actinomycetota; Actinomycetes; Mycobacteriales; Tsukamurellaceae.
CACCCGCUGGUCCGGGUCCGGGUGUGGGCGGGCCUGCGCUCCGCCGACGUGGUCGAGCGGAUCCGCCGGUUCGAGUUGGACGCGGGCAUC